ACGAACGCUGGCGGCGUGCUUAACACCUGCAAGUCGAACGGAAAGGCCCUGCUUGCAGGGUACUCGAGUGGCGAACGGGUGAGUAACACGUGGGUGAUCUGCCCUGCACUUCGGGAUAAGCUUGGGAAACUGGGUCUAAUACCGGAUAGGAGCCAUCUUUAGUGUGGUGGUUGGAAAGUUUUUUCGGUGUAGGAUGAGCUCGCGGCCUAUCAGCUUGUUGGUGGGGUAAUGGCCUACCAAGGCGGCGACGGGUAGCCGGCCUGAGAGGGUGUACGGCCACAUUGGGACUGAGAUACGGCCCAGACUCCUACGGGAGGCAGCAGUGGGGAAUAUUGCACAAUGGGCGCAAGCCUGAUGCAGCGACGCCGCGUGGGGGAUGAAGGCCUUCGGGUUGUAAACUCCUUUCGCUAGGGACGAAGCUUUUUUGUGACGGUACCUAGAGAAGAAGCACCGGCUAACUACGUG
Molecule: ribosomal RNA, 465 nt
Filed under: uncultured bacterium
Lineage: Bacteria
Description: partial 16S ribosomal RNA
Rfam family: Bacterial small subunit ribosomal RNA
Source: RNAcentral